UAAGCGGAGGAAAAGAAACUAACAAGGAUUCCCCUAGUAACUGCGAGUGAAGCGGGAAAAGCUCAAAUUUAAAAUCUGGUGGUCUUUGGCCAUCCGAGUUGUAAUCUAGAGAAGCGUCUUCCGCGCUGGACCGUGCACAAGUCUCCUGGAACGGAGCGUCGUAGAGGGUGAGAAUCCCGUCUUUGGCAUGGACACACCAGGGCUUUUGUGAUGCGCUCUCGAAGAGUCGAGUUGUUUGGGAAUGCAGCUCAAAAUGGGUGGUGAACUCCAUCUAAAGCUAAAUAUUGGCGAGAGACCGAUAGCGAACAAGUACCGUGAGGGAAAGAUGAAAAGCACUUUGGAAAGAGAGUGAAACAGUACGUGAAAUUGUUGAAAGGGAAACGCUUGAAGUCAGUCGCGUCGACCGAGACUCAGCCUCGCCUCGGCUUGGUGUACUUCUCGGCCCGACGGGUCAGCAUCAAUUUCGCCUCUUGGAUAAUGGCGAGGGAAACGUGACACCUUUACGGUGUGUUAUAGUCUCUCGUCGCAUGCAAGGGUCGGGAUUGAGGAACUCAGCACGCGCCUUUGGGCGUCGGGGCUUUGCCUACGAUACGUGCUUAGGAUGUUGGCGUAAUGGCUUUAAACGACC
Molecule: ribosomal RNA, 628 nt
Filed under: Russula sp. GAL14326
Lineage: Eukaryota; Fungi; Basidiomycota; Agaricomycetes; Russulales; Russulaceae
Also listed under: 1 other name
Description: LSU rRNA
Rfam family: Eukaryotic large subunit ribosomal RNA
Source: RNAcentral